This 512-nucleotide long non-coding RNA is filed under the name Populus trichocarpa (black cottonwood). RNAcentral's name for it is "long non-coding RNA (PTRI_LNC001800)". The record is from RNAcentral. Lineage: Eukaryota; Viridiplantae; Streptophyta; Magnoliopsida; Malpighiales; Salicaceae.
ACAAUUCAAAAAAUUAUUCAAUAAUUAUGUCAAUACAACAAAACAAUAAAUUCAAAAAAACUCUAGAAUAACAAUCAAAAUAAAUGGAAAAAAUUAAACACAAAUCAUGCAGUAAUAGAGUAAAAUUAAUAAUUAUUCCAACAUAUUCAAUUACUAAUUCUAUGGUAAAUUCAACAUUAACAAUAAAUAUUCAACAAAUUAACUAAUAAUAAUUAUGCCAAUACAACAAUAAAAAAUAUUCAAUAAAUUAAAAAAAAAAACUAUAGACUUUAGCAAUGAAUUAUGCUUACUUUAAUAAUGUGUUGAAUUCAAUACUUUAUCUACAUUACAAAAAAUACACCAAAACAAAAAACAUAACAAAAAAAAAUAGCAAAAAAAAAAACCCUUAAAGUAAAAUGAAAUAGAAAAAACACAUACCUUUUAAACUGAUGAAGAUUCACAAGAAAACUUGCUAGAGAUUGCAGAUGAAAGCUUUGAAGAAUGGAGAGGAAAAGAAUCGGUGAAAAACUGAG